GUUUAGGGGAAAACAUUGGAAGAGAUGGAAGAAACAUUCUCGAAACCAAUCCUGAAGCUAGGCAGACAAAAAUAAAAGGUUUAACGUGUAGUAAGAUGCAGCCGAGCAGAGCAAGACUAUAUUCUGUUAUUAAUAUUUCUUUAAAUAUUAAAUAAUUAUUGAAUAUUU
Long non-coding RNA from Eurytemora carolleeae, 168 nucleotides. RefSeq lists it as uncharacterized. The record is from RefSeq and is a predicted model, not a curated record. NCBI's taxonomy places the organism in Eukaryota, Metazoa, Arthropoda, Copepoda, Calanoida, Temoridae. The transcript has 2 exons.